RNAcentral lists this long non-coding RNA (1172 nucleotides) under Rattus norvegicus (Norway rat). RNAcentral describes it as "long non-coding RNA NONRATT010476". Lineage: Eukaryota; Metazoa; Chordata; Mammalia; Rodentia; Muridae. The record is from RNAcentral.
GCUUUUCUAAGCAGAAAUGCUGCAGAAUUUUGAUCAUACAUGAUAGAGGAUUUAGAACUUGUCUUUGUCUCAUGCAAUCCAAUGACUGAUCUAUUUGAUUCUCAGGGGGAAAGAGAAACAAACUAUUUUAUGAGAAUUGUUCUGGGAAAUGUAUUCACCUGGAACACAUUUCCUUGGUUCUUGGCUGGCCUUACAGAGCGGCCAUAACUGACUGCUGAGAGACAGGACAUUGAAAUGAUAGUUUAUUUUUACUUCUCGGUGGUUUCUGAUUACAGACAGCAUCCUGUAAAUAUAACUUUAUUGUCUUGAGAUGUCUAUUGAAGAUUACUAUAUUUUUCUGUUUUGAACGAUUUUGCCACUUAAAAUCGUUCAGUGCAAAAGAUGACUAGCUAUUCUGAGGCAGGUGGAUUUCCCAUGCAAACUGAAUCCUCAACGCAUUUCAGAAGGCUUUUACUGUAUUAGGUAACAUGAGAUAUUAAAGGAUUUUUCUAGGCAAGAUGCUCAGCCUUUUUUUUUCCCCCCAUAAAAGUACUUUUACUCAAAUUGUAACUCAUGUUUUUCUUUCAUGAAAUGGAGUGGUUAUUGAAGUGUUCACACUGAAGUAGGAGAAGGGUGCAUAUACACCGCUUUUUCUGGCUUCCCCUUGUCUUAGCCAAUUGUGAUUUGCACACCGGGGUAACUCAGGACAGAAAAUAGCAAGUUUGAGUUUGCAUUUCUCUACCAUAGGUACCACUUAGUCUAUCUAAAUGUCUUAAAUAUCCCAAAUACAGUCUUAAAUUACUAAACAUUAAUGUUUUUAUCUGGCCAGCUAUUUUCAAGGGGUUUCAUUACAUGACUUUGCUUUUGUUCUGAGCUACCAUUAACUGUAAGUUACUUGAGUUUCUGUCAAAAAAAGGAAAAAAGUCAUGACUUUCAUGUCUGUGUGGAAGCAUUUUCAAGAAUAAAUUUUACUAACUUAAUUACAGAAUUAUCAGCUUUACCCCUGACAAGACAUUGUGUAUGUUUAGAGUAGAUUAAAAGUUUGCUAAUUCUAUUCUGCUGUGUCCUUGGGAUUACACCAAUUUCAGAGUAUUACCAGCUUGGAAGCUUAUGUCUAUAACAGGUCAUUGUAAUCUUCAUUUGGAAGAUGCAUAUUUGGAAGGAUAAUCAAUAAACUGCUCUGUUUACACAUG